Molecule: non-coding RNA, 831 nt
Organism: Vicugna pacos (alpaca)
Lineage: Eukaryota; Metazoa; Chordata; Mammalia; Artiodactyla; Camelidae
Source: RefSeq, a predicted model, not a curated record
GAUUCCUCCUCUUCGUUUGCUUACUCACUUAUUCAGUCAUUUAUUCACUCGUGUACUUAACCACGCAUGCACUUAUUAAUCAGUUAAAUAUUCAUUUGAUCACUCAUUCAUUUACUCAUUCAACCAGCAUCUGCUCAGUGGUUGCUGGGUGCCCAGCCCGACACCGAGCUGCGUUGGGGGUAGAGUCGUGACGAUAAAACCUUGACUCUGGCCUCGUGGUUCUCCCAGCCCAGUGAAGGAGACAAACAUUAAACCACCACUAAUUACACAUUUAAUUAACCACUACAAAAGUGAUAACUACUGGGAAAGCAGGUACAAAACCUAUGAGGACAUCUUAUAAGGAAAACUGAGUUCAGGUAGGGUGUCAGCAACACUUGAGCUUGCACCUGAAGGAUGAGCGUGGAUAAGCCAGCAGAAGGGGAGAAUAUUCCAGGCGAAGAAUCAGUCUGGCCCAAUAACAGCGAUGAGGAUGGUGAUAACUGCACCUUUACUCUGUGCUCAGCGCUACCAGGAGGAGGCACAGCCUGUGUGUAUUGGAAGUUCUCCUGACUGUCUAGAGUCCCUCCAUCCUGCUGUAGGCUGAUUCACCGGUAGGAUUUCCUGUGUGUGUGUGUGUGUGUGUGUGUGUAGUCCCACAGCAAUCUAACCUCACUCCUUCAUGCUGAAAGGAAGAAAGGGAGGCAGGUAAUGGGUUUCAGGAGUAAACAGAACCUGAAGCUUGAUGGAUGCAUUUUUAAGAGCUUUUUAUUGGCGACAGUGCAGAACCACGAGGGGGAGGGUAGCAGCCCAGUGCCAGCCAGCCCCAGCACCCCCCGGGCGUCAGGUGCAAAA